Molecule: ribosomal RNA, 448 nt
Filed under: uncultured Planctomycetota bacterium
Lineage: Bacteria; Pseudomonadati; Planctomycetota
Description: bacterial SSU rRNA
Rfam family: Bacterial small subunit ribosomal RNA
Source: RNAcentral
GCUUAGAGAGGGGUCAAUGUCCUAUCAGCUAGUUGGUAGGGUAAUGGCCUACCAAGGCUAAGACGGGUAGCCGGCCUGAGAGGGUGGUUGGCCACACUGGGACUGAGACACUGCCCAGACUCCUACGGGAGGCUGCAGUCGAGAAUCUUUCGCAAUGCCCGAAAGGGUGACGAAGCGACGCCGCGUGUGGGAAGAAGGCCUUCGGGUUGUAAACCACUGUCGGGAGUUAAGAAAUGCAAGGGUGUUAAUAGCAUCCUUGCUUGACUAAGGCUCCGGAGGAAGCCACGGCUAACUCUGUGCCAGCAGCCGCGGUAAUACAGAGGCGGCAAGCGUUGUUCGGAAUUAUUGGGCGUAAAGAGCACGUAGGCGGCUUUGUAAGUCAGUUGAGAAAGCCUUCUGCUCAACGGAAGAACAGCAUCUGAUACUGCAAGGCUAGAGUGCGGAAGGG